AGCCUGUGGGGGAAUACAUCGAGCGAGCGAGAGAGGAACUAGAGUUUGCAAGAUUUCUAAUCAGUUCCUACUCUUGGAUUCUAUGAAAAGUGGAAUGGACUGUCUGAAGAUGUUGUACAAUUCCCUUCCAUAGAGGUUAGCAAUGACUGGAUACAGUGUAGGUACUGGGAGCCAAGAAUGAACAAUAGGAUGUGAGAAGCCAGAUUUGUGCCAUCACAAGCAAGGAAGCUAUAUCAUGCCAAAGGGGAACAUCUUGAGCACAUCAUAAAGGAGAGAAGAGGAUUUUCAUCAAUCAAGAACAGCAAGCCACCCUUUUAUUCCAUAUGUUCUCUUGUUUUGAGCCCACUUCUUUUAAGAAUCUACACUGUAGGAGAGUGGAUCACACAGUUGGGGAGAAUGUUUUGUAUCAGUUGUUUAUAUUAUGUCACCUUAGAAAGUGCCUCUUUCUAAAACUAAUUGAAUCUACCCAAUUAAAUAAAAUCAAUCAAUAAUCAUUGGGAGGAGCAGUGGAGUUGGGGUACUAGCAGUAUUUAUGAUUGAAAUUACCCAGUCUUGUCUCUUAGUGCUAUCCUUAGAGCCUUAUGAGGAUGUAGUAGCUAUUCUCUGACUUUUUCUCAACUUUUGCCAUUGGAGGUUGAGAAAAUAAGUCUCCCAACUUACCAAAUGAUAAAUUUCUGGUGUACAAUUCUAGUUACCCAUUUGUUUCUUAUUAGAUAUCUGAUAGGUGCUAACAGGGUUAAGUGUCUUGUGCUGGGUCACCUCCCUAGUAACUGUGUGAAAAUGACUUUGAACUCAGAUCUUCCUGACACCAAGCCCAAGGCUCUAUUCAAUCUAGUUGCCCUGGAAUAUGAGAACUAUACAUGUUUCAAAGUAUUUUGAACUGAAAAUAGAUUUCAUUUUUAAGUUGUUACUAAAAGUAUAAGCACGACUUUUAUGAUAAGAAACAGUAUAGUGGAAGGAGAGCAGGACUUUGAGUCAGGAAUACAUAAGUCCAAAUUGUAUCUCUGACAUUAUUAACUUUCAACUCUAACCACUCUGUGUCUCAGUUUUCUCAUUUGUGAAAUGGGAAUAAUGAUAAUGCAUUUUAGUGCUUAUUUCACAGAAUUGUGAUGACAUUCAAAUAAAAUUAUCAAUGAGCAACAAACACACAAAACAAAAAUGAGAGUCUGGAUCCUCAGAAAUGAGAGUCUAUAUAUAUUGAACUGGCACAGGAGAUAGAUCACCUGGCCUAGAGUUAGAAGAACUUAAGUUCAAAUAUGGGCUCAGUCA
Long non-coding RNA from Sarcophilus harrisii (Tasmanian devil), 1269 nucleotides. RefSeq lists it as uncharacterized. The record is from RefSeq and is a predicted model, not a curated record. NCBI's taxonomy places the organism in Eukaryota, Metazoa, Chordata, Mammalia, Dasyuromorphia, Dasyuridae. The transcript is spliced from 3 exons.